UACGUAGGGUGCAAGCGUUAAUCGGAAUUACUGGGCGUAAAGCGUGCGCAGGCGGCUUUGCAAGACAGAUGUGAAAUCCCCGGGCUUAACCUGGGAACUGCAUUUGUGACUGCUUGGCUGGAGUGCGGCAGAGGGGGAUGGAAUUCCGCGUGUAGCAGUGAAAUGCGUAGAUAUGCGGAGGAACACCGAUGGCGAAGGCAAUCCCCUGGGCCUGAACUGACGCUCAUGCACGAAAGCGUGGGGAGCAAACAGG
Molecule: ribosomal RNA, 253 nt
Filed under: uncultured bacterium
Lineage: Bacteria
Description: partial 16S ribosomal RNA
Rfam family: Bacterial small subunit ribosomal RNA
Source: RNAcentral